GCAGGGCACGUCUGGCUUUUACCACCCAGUUGCUUCGAGCCAGGAGAUGGAGGAGUCAUCUGUUGCACGCUGGAGGCUGGAGCCUGCAGAUGGCAUGGUUCUGUGGCUCACCUCGCUGCAGUUGGUGGCAGAGACAGAGACUGCAGCUUGACCAGAGUGGUGGAGUGGUAGGAGAGUGUCUGCGGGGGCCUCCUGGAGGUGAUAUGUAUCUCAAGAGCACUCCACAACAAAGAUUCUGCCUGCAAUCCUCCACUUCAAGGUCUGUUCCAGGAAACCUGUGUAACACAGUUAUGCAUAGAGUGGUCUUAGGAAGCUGACUCUAACAUGAAAAUUUAGAGUUGGAUCUUUUGCUGACAUAUUGAAUAUUCAUAAGAGCAUAUGAUACAUUUGUCUAUCAUAAACAUGUCAUUUCAAAAAACCCUCAAAGUUGCCUUGUAGAACAUAAUUUUAAAACUAGUGUGUAGGAAUAUUUCAUAUCAGUUAUUCAGUCUUCUUAAUAUCUGAACCGAAAUUAAUCUUCCAUUCUGCUUUUAUUUAUAAAUAAUGAUUUAUUGUCAGAUUCAAUAAUUUAUAUUUUCAUUUAUUCUAAGGUAGGAAAUACCAGCAUAAAAAUAAAUUAUUUGAAACAAAUCACAUUGUUGUCCCAUUUUACCAUUACUCACAUGUAGAAGAUAUUGUUUUUAACAAAAACAAUAAGAGAAACAGAAACUACCAUUUAUUAACUGAUGCUUACUGGAAGCUUUAGAAGGAUCUUAUUUAACUUUCAAUCAAGUUUUUCAUGGACAUUUUUGUUAUUGAGAAAUAAUUUUAAUUUAUCAGAUCCUCAAAGCAAAUUAUAUAGGUGCCAUUAUUAACAGAUUUUUUAAAAAAACCUGAUUCAUAGAAAAGGUUAAUGAUAUGGUUUGGAUCUUUGACCCCAUCAAAUCUCAUGUUGAAUUGCAAUCCCCAGUGCUGGAAGUGGGGCCUGGUGGGAGCUGAUUAAAUUAUGGAGGUGGAGUUCUCGUGAAUGGUAUAGCACCAUUCCUUUGGUGCUGUCUUGUGGUUGAGUUUUCAUGACAUUUGGUUGUUUAAAAGUUUGUGGCAUCUUUCCCAUCUCUCUCUUGCUCUUCCUGCAGCCAGGUGAAGGGCUGUUCCCCCUUUGCCUUCUGCCAUGAUUGUAAAUUUCCUGAGGCCUCCCCAAAAGCUGAGCAGGUGUCAGCAUCAUGCUUCCUUAACAGCCAAUGGAAUUACGAG
This 1233-nucleotide long non-coding RNA is filed under the name Homo sapiens (human). Its description in RNAcentral is "HSALNT0371985". Lineage: Eukaryota; Metazoa; Chordata; Mammalia; Primates; Hominidae. The record is from RNAcentral.